RNAcentral lists this ribosomal RNA (787 nucleotides) under uncultured bacterium. RNAcentral's name for it is "bacterial SSU rRNA". It matches the Rfam family "Bacterial small subunit ribosomal RNA", at positions 8 to 796 of the family's 1533-position model. The record is from RNAcentral.
AGAGUUUGAUCAUGGCUCAGGAUGAACGCUAGCGGCAGGCUUAACACAUGCAAGUCGAGGGGUAUAUGUCUUCGGAUAUAGAGACCGGCGCACGGGUGCGUAACGCGUAUGCAAUCUACCUUUUACAGGGGAAUAGCCCAGAGAAAUUUGGAUUAAUGCCCCAUAGUAUAAUUGAAUGGCAUCAUUUAAUUAUUAAAGUCACAACGGUAAAAGAUAAGCAUGCGUCCCAUUAGUUAGUUGGUAAGGUAACGGCUUACCAAGACAAUGAUGGGUAGGGGUCCUGAGAGGGAGAUCCCCCACACUGGUACUGAGACACGGACCAGACUCCUACGGGAGGCAGCAGUGAGGAAUAUUGGACAAUGGGCGCAAGCCUGAUCCAGCCAUGCCGCGUGCAGGAAGACGGUCCUAUGGAUUGUAAACUGCUUUUAUACAGGAAGAAACACUCCGACGUGUCGGAGCUUGACGGUACUGUAGGAAUAAGGAUCGGCUAACUCCGUGCCAGCAGCCGCGGUAAUACGGAGGAUCCAAGCGUUAUCCGGAAUCAUUGGGUUUAAAGGGUCCGUAGGCGGUUUAAUAAGUCAGUGGUGAAAUCUGGUCGCUCAACGAUCAAACGGCCAUUGAUACUGUUAGACUUGAAUUAUAAGGAAGUAACUAGAAUAUGUAGUGUAGCGGUGAAAUGCUUAGAUAUUACAUGGAAUACCAAUUGCGAAGGCAGGUUACUACUUAUGGAUUGACGCUGAUGGACGAAAGCGUGGGGAGCGAACAGGAUUAGAUACCCUGGUAGUCC